RNAcentral lists this long non-coding RNA (940 nucleotides) under Homo sapiens (human). RNAcentral's name for it is "uncharacterized LOC102724087, transcript variant 13 (LOC102724087)". Lineage: Eukaryota; Metazoa; Chordata; Mammalia; Primates; Hominidae. The record is from RNAcentral.
AGCAAUCUACACACAUACACUCACACACCCCGUCCCUUUCCCUCCUCGCAGAAGCCGAGGAGAUGCCAUGUGAGGGUGCAGCGAGGAGUUGGGCUGUCUAAAAGCAAAGAAAGAGAUUGCAUCAGACACCGCAUCUGCUGACACCUUGUUCUUGGACUUCCAGCUUCCAAAACCGCGAGAAAUAAAUGUCUGUGUCUAAACCCCAACCCUACCACCUCAACUGCCGUGUGUGGUGUUUUGUGAUGGCAGCCCCAGCUGACUGAGACACCUGGUUAGACCGGAAUAAGCAGGCUGCAAUCGGUAGCAGUCACCAUUGAACAUCCUUGAAGCAAUUCUUCCAAAAUUACCUUGCAUCAAAGACUGCACAAGAACUGCUCUAAGCGGAAGGACUGAUGUCGGCAACCAGGGUUCCACCAGGGGCUGCAGACAGCCCUUGACCUUCAGGUAGAACUGGAAGAUUUUGCUGAAAGAUUGGACAUGGCAUUCAGAGAAACAGAGGUUUUAAUGACAAACUCCAAGUUUUUGGCUGGAGCAACUGGAAGAAUGAGGUUGCCAUGAACCGAAAAGAGAGAUUGCAGAAGUAACCAAAUUUACUCACGUAGGCCAGGAAUUUCUAUGACGUGUUCCAAAUUCAGCCUCUCACUGAACACUUCCAGAGCAAGGCAACAUAAACAUCUGCAAGAAGAACAUUGUGUGAGAAAUAUCAAGUGAGAGUGGAAGAGUCUGCGGAGGGCCUCCCUGGGGCUCACCUGUGCUUUUGCCUGAGCUUCACCGUGUCAAGGAUGCAGCACUUUUUCCCUCUGGAGGAAGCAGCUUUCACCUUGGAAGAAUCUUGACCUUGCCAUUCAAAGUCACCAGACAGGGAAUCUGCCAGUGCCUUGAUCUUAGACUUCCCAGCUUCUGUAACUGUGAGCAAUAAAUGUAUGCUGCUUAUAAACUA